GUCGCAAGACCAAAGUGGGGGACCUUCGGGCCUCAUGCCAUCAGAUGUGCCCAGAUGGGAUUAGCUAGUAGGUGGGGUAACGGCUCACCUAGGCGACGAUCCCUAGCUGGUCUGAGAGGAUGACCAGCCACACUGGAACUGAGACACGGUCCAGACUCCUACGGGAGGCAGCAGUGGGGAAUAUUGCACAAUGGGCGCAAGCCUGAUGCAGCCAUGCCGCGUGUGUGAAGAAGGCCUUCGGGUUGUAAAGCACUUUCAGCGGGGAGGAAGGCGUUAAGGUUAAUAACCUUGUCGAUUGACGUUACCCGCAGAAGAAGCACCGGCUAACUCCGUGCCAGCAGCCGCGGUAAUACGGAGGGUGCAAGCGUUAAUCGGAAUUACUGGGCGUAAAGCGCACGCAGGCGGUCUGUCAAGUCGGAUGUGAAAUCCCCGGGCUCAACCUGGGAACUGCAUUCGAAACUGGCAGGCUAGAGUCUUGUAGAGGGGGGUAGAAUUCCAGGUGUAGCGGUGAAAUGCGUAGAGAUCUGGAGGAAUACCGGUGGCGAAGGCGGCCCCCUGGACAAAGACUGACGCUCAGGUGCGAAAGCGUGGGGAGCAAACAGGAUUAGAUACCCUGGUAGUCCACGCCGUAAACGAUGUCGAUUUGGAGGUUGUGCCCUUGAGGCGUGGCUUCCGGAGCUAACGCGUUAAAUCGACCGCCUGGGGAGUACGGCCGCAAGGUUAAAACUCAAAUGAAUUGACGGGGGCCCGCACAAGCGGUGGAGCAUGUGGUUUAAUUCGAUGCAACGCGAAGAACCUUACCUGGUCUUGACAUCCACAGAACUUUCCAGAGAUGGAUUGGUGCCUUCGGGAACUGUGAGACAGGUGCUGCAUGGCUGUCGUCAGCUCGUGUUGUGAAAUGUUGGGUUAAGUCCCGCAACGAGCGCAACCCUUAUCCUUUGUUGCCAGCGGUCCGGCCGGGAACUCAAAGGAGACUGCCAGUGAUAAACUGGAGGAAGGUGGGGAUGACGUCAAGUCAUCAUGGCCCUUACGACCAGGGCUACACACGUGCUACAAUGGCAUAUACAAAGAGAAGCGACCUCGCGAGAGCAAGCGGACCUCAUAAAGUAUGUCGUAGUCCGGAUUGGAGUCUGCAACUCGACUCCAUGAAGUCGGAAUCGCUAGUAAUCGUAGAUCAGAAUGCUACGGUGAAUACGUUCCCGGGCCUUGUACACACCGCCCGUCACACCAUGGGAGUGGGUUGCAAAAGAAGUAGGUAGCUUAACCUUCGGGAGGGCGCUUACCACUUUGUGAUUCAUGACUGGGGUGAAGUCGUAACAAGGUAACCGUAGGGGAACCUGCGGUUGGAUCACCUCCUUA
Molecule: ribosomal RNA, 1359 nt
Filed under: Klebsiella pneumoniae
Lineage: Bacteria; Pseudomonadati; Pseudomonadota; Gammaproteobacteria; Enterobacterales; Enterobacteriaceae
Description: bacterial SSU rRNA
Rfam family: Bacterial small subunit ribosomal RNA
Source: RNAcentral